This 3028-nucleotide ribosomal RNA is filed under the name Salmonella enterica subsp. enterica serovar Milwaukee str. SA19950795. Its description in RNAcentral is "bacterial LSU rRNA". It matches the Rfam family "Bacterial large subunit ribosomal RNA". The record is from RNAcentral. Lineage: Bacteria; Pseudomonadati; Pseudomonadota; Gammaproteobacteria; Enterobacterales; Enterobacteriaceae.
GGGUUGUGAGGUUAAGCGACUAAGCGUACACGGUGGAUGCCCUGGCAGUCAGAGGCGAUGAAGGGCGUGCUAAUCUGCGAUAAGCGCCGGUAAGGUGAUAUGAACCGUUAUAACCGGCGAUACCCGAAUGGGGAAACCCAGUGUGAUUCGUCACACUAUCAUUAACUGAAUCCAUAGGUUAAUGAGGCGAACCGGGGGAACUGAAACAUCUAAGUACCCCGAGGAAAAGAAAUCAACCGAGAUUCCCCCAGUAGCGGCGAGCGAACGGGGAGGAGCCCAGAGCCUGAAUCAGCAUGUGUGUUAGUGGAAGCGUCUGGAAAGGCGCGCGAUACAGGGUGACAGCCCCGUACACAAAAGCGCAUGUGCUGUGAGCUCGAUGAGUAGGGCGGGACACGUGGUAUCCUGUCUGAAUAUGGGGGGACCAUCCUCCAAGGCUAAAUACUCCUGACUGACCGAUAGUGAACCAGUACCGUGAGGGAAAGGCGAAAAGAACCCCGGCGAGGGGAGUGAAAAAGAACCUGAAACCGUGUACGUACAAGCAGUGGGAGCCCCACCACUAAGCCAGUGGUGAACUCCACAUACGCAUCCUUUGCUGAGGAGACGGUUAACGGAGCGAAAGCGACGUUCAACCUCAAAACAAGCAGAGGGGGCUUAGUGGUGGGGUGACUGCGUACCUUUUGUAUAAUGGGUCAGCGACUUAUAUUCUGUAGCAAGGUUAACCGAAUAGGGGAGCCGGAGGGAAACCGAGUCUUAAUUGGGCGUUAAGUUGCAGGGUAUAGACCCGAAACCCGGUGAUCUAGCCAUGGGCAGGUUGAAGGUUGGGUAACACUAACUGGAGGACCGAACCGACUAAUGUUGAAAAAUUAGCGGAUGACCUGUGGCUGGGGGUGAAAGGCCAAUCAAACCGGGAGAUAGCUGGUUCUCCCCGAAAGCUAUUUAGGUAGCGCCUCGUGAAUUCAUCUCCGGGGGUAGAGCACUGUUUCGGCUAGGGGGCCAUCCCGGCUUACCAACCCGAUGCAAACUGCGAAUACCGGAGAAUGUUAUCACGGGAGACACACGGCGGGUGCUAACGUCCGUCGUGAAGAGGGAAACAACCCAGACCGCCAGCUAAGGUCCCAAAGUCAUGGUUAAGUGGGAAACGAUGUGGGAAGGCCCAGACAGCCAGGAUGUUGGCUUAGAAGCAGCCAUCAUUUAAAGAAAGCGUAAUAGCUCACUGGUCGAGUCGGCCUGCGCGGAAGAUGUAACGGGGCUAAACCAUGCACCGAAGCUGCGGCAGCGACGCUUAUGCGUUGUUGGGUAGGGGAGCGUUCUGUAAGCCUGUGAAGGUGGCCUGUGAGGGUUGCUGGAGGUAUCAGAAGUGCGAAUGCUGACAUAAGUAACGAUAAAGCGGGUGAAAAGCCCGCUCGCCGGAAGACCAAGGGUUCCUGUCCAACGUUAAUCGGGGCAGGGUGAGUCGACCCCUAAGGCGAGGCCGAAAGGCGUAGUCGAUGGGAAACGGGUUAAUAUUCCCGUACUUGGUGUUACUGCGAAGGGGGGACGGAGAAGGCUAUGUUGGCCGGGCGACGGUUGUCCCGGUUUAAGCGUGUAGGUGUGUGUUCCAGGUAAAUCCGGUUCACUUUAACACUGAGGCGUGAUGACGAGGCACUACGGUGCUGAAGCAACAAAUGCCCUGCUUCCAGGAAAAGCCUCUAAGCAUCAGGUAACAUCAAAUCGUACCCCAAACCGACACAGGUGGUCAGGUAGAGAAUACCAAGGCGCUUGAGAGAACUCGGGUGAAGGAACUAGGCAAAAUGGUGCCGUAACUUCGGGAGAAGGCACGCUGACACGUAGGUGAAGUGAUUUACUCAUGGAGCUGAAGUCAGUCGAAGAUACCAGCUGGCUGCAACUGUUUAUUAAAAACACAGCACUGUGCAAACACGAAAGUGGACGUAUACGGUGUGACGCCUGCCCGGUGCCGGAAGGUUAAUUGAUGGGGUCAGCGCAAGCGAAGCUCCUGAUCGAAGCCCCGGUAAACGGCGGCCGUAACUAUAACGGUCCUAAGGUAGCGAAAUUCCUUGUCGGGUAAGUUCCGACCUGCACGAAUGGCGUAAUGAUGGCCAGGCUGUCUCCACCCGAGACUCAGUGAAAUUGAACUCGCUGUGAAGAUGCAGUGUACCCGCGGCAAGACGGAAAGACCCCGUGAACCUUUACUAUAGCUUGACACUGAACAUUGAGCCUUGAUGUGUAGGAUAGGUGGGAGGCUUUGAAGCGUGGACGCCAGUCUGCGUGGAGCCGACCUUGAAAUACCACCCUUUAAUGUUUGAUGUUCUAACGUGGACCCGUUACCCGGGUUGCGGACAGUGUCUGGUGGGUAGUUUGACUGGGGCGGUCUCCUCCUAAAGAGUAACGGAGGAGCACGAAGGUUGGCUAAUCCUGGUCGGACAUCAGGAGGUUAGUGCAAUGGCAUAAGCCAGCUUGACUGCGAGCGUGACGGCGCGAGCAGGUGCGAAAGCAGGUCAUAGUGAUCCGGUGGUUCUGAAUGGAAGGGCCAUCGCUCAACGGAUAAAAGGUACUCCGGGGAUAACAGGCUGAUACCGCCCAAGAGUUCAUAUCGACGGCGGUGUUUGGCACCUCGAUGUCGGCUCAUCACAUCCUGGGGCUGAAGUAGGUCCCAAGGGUAUGGCUGUUCGCCAUUUAAAGUGGUACGCGAGCUGGGUUUAGAACGUCGUGAGACAGUUCGGUCCCUAUCUGCCGUGGGCGCUGGAGAACUGAGGGGGGCUGCUCCUAGUACGAGAGGACCGGAGUGGACGCAUCACUGGUGUUCGGGUUGUCAUGCCAAUGGCACUGCCCGGUAGCUAAAUGCGGAAGAGAUAAGUGCUGAAAGCAUCUAAGCACGAAACUUGCCCCGAGAUGAGUUCUCCCUGAGACUUAAAGUCUCCUGAAGGAACGUUGAAGACGACGACGUUGAUAGGCCGGGUGUGUAAGCGCAGCGAUGCGUUGAGCUAACCGGUACUAAUGAACCGUGAGGCUUAACCUUACAACGCCGAAG